This 487-nucleotide ribosomal RNA is filed under the name uncultured bacterium. RNAcentral's name for it is "partial 16S ribosomal RNA". It matches the Rfam family "Bacterial small subunit ribosomal RNA", at positions 899 to 1397 of the family's 1533-position model. The record is from RNAcentral.
ACUCAAAGGAAUUGACGGGGAGCCGCACAAGCAGUGGAGCAUGUGGUUUAAUUCGACGCUACGCGUAGAACCUUACCAAGGCUUGACAUCUCGGGAAUCUCCUAGAAAUAGGAGAGUGCCUUCGGGAACCCGAUGACAGGUGUUGCAUGGCCGUCGUCAGCUCGUGUCGUGAGAUGUUGGGUUAAGUCCCGCAACGAGCGCAACCCUUGCCGUGUGUUGAAUUUUUCACACGGGACUGCCCGGGCCAACCGGGAGGAAGGUGGGGAUGAUGUCAGGUCUGCAUGGCCCUUACGCCUUGGGCUACACACGUGCUACAAUGGCCGGUACAACGGGUUUGCCAAGUCGCGAGACGGAGCUAAUCCCAUCAAAACCGGUCUCAGUUCGGAUUGAAGGCUGCAACUCGCCUUCAUGAAGUUGGAAUUGCUAGUAACCGUGGGUCAGCCAUACCGCGGUGAAUACGUUCCCGGCUCUUGUACACACCGCCCGU